AAUGUAGGCUGUUAUGUAAGUCGGAGGUGAAAUCCCUCGGCUCAACCGAGGAACUGCCUUUGAUACUGCAUAACUUGAGGACAGGAGAGGAAAGUGGAAUUCCCGGAGUAGCGGUGGAAUGCGUAGAUAUCGGGAGGAACACCGGAGGCGAAGGCGGCUUUCUGGACUGAUUCUGACGCUGAGAUUCGAAAGCCAGGUUAGCAAACA
Molecule: ribosomal RNA, 207 nt
Filed under: uncultured bacterium
Lineage: Bacteria
Description: partial 16S ribosomal RNA
Rfam family: Bacterial small subunit ribosomal RNA
Source: RNAcentral